Molecule: transfer RNA, 57 nt
Organism: Ovis aries (sheep)
Lineage: Eukaryota; Metazoa; Chordata; Mammalia; Artiodactyla; Bovidae
Rfam family: tRNA
About the family: Transfer RNA (tRNA) molecules are approximately 80 nucleotides in length. Their secondary structure includes four short double-helical elements and three loops (D, anti-codon, and T loops). Further hydrogen bonds mediate the characteristic L-shaped molecular structure. tRNAs have two regions of fundamental functional importance: the anti-codon, which is responsible for specific mRNA codon recognition, and the 3' end, to which the tRNAs corresponding amino acid is attached (by aminoacyl-tRNA synthetases). tRNAs cope with the degeneracy of the genetic code in two manners: having more than one tRNA (with a specific anti-codon) for a particular amino acid; and 'wobble' base-pairing, i.e. permitting non-standard base-pairing at the 3rd anti-codon position.
Source: Rfam
UAGCUCAGUUGGUAAAGAAUCUGCCUGCAGUGCAGGAGACCCAGGUUCAAUUCCUGG